UUCGCCGUCUACGUUUCUCUUUCUUCGCGGACGAACACGCGCUGGGCCUGCACGCAGCAGGAUCCAGGGUCCUUAACGGGAUAUGCGUUAGGGGCUUGUAGCUCAGUUGGUUAGAGCGCGCGCUUGAUAAGCGUGAGGUCGGAAGUUCAAGUCUUCCCAGGCCCACCACUUUCAUCGAGUGAGCAUUCGUCUUCUGGUUACGGGGCCAUAGCUCAGCUGGGAGAGCGCGUGCUUUGCAAGCAUGAGGUCGUCGGUUCGAUCCCGUCUGGCUCCACCAGAUGGUUUGAUCACCGAGGUCAUGCACCGUCGUCCGCGAAACAUCACUUCGCAUCCUGCUAGUCUGGAUAGACAGCAGAAUGCGUGUUUUCUGACAUCGUAAAGAGGAGAUCGAUCCGAGUUGGGUCGUGUAGCAGAUUGCUGCGCGGAUCCUUCAUUAUCUCCGGAUCAUUUUCGGCGCUCGACGCUGACCGCAAGGUUGGCAGCGAGUUGUAAAAUGAUCCUUUUAGCGAAGCUUGACCGCCUCGCUAUCGGAACGAUCUUACGAAGCAAGCUGGUCUUUCUAGUCAAUGUCCGGCUGCGACAAUCGUAUCUUCGAGGGUACGUGCCUUUAGUGGCAAUUGCGCAGACAACAUUCUGCCGAGUGUGUGGACAUUGAUAAUGAGAGCAAUCAAGUGCCUUAAGGUGUUCGGUGGAUGCCUUGGCGCUGAGAGGCGAUGAAGGACGUGCUACGCUGCGAUAAGCCGUGGGGAGCUGCGAGAAGCUUUGAUCCGCGGAUUU
This 777-nucleotide unclassified non-coding RNA is filed under the name Bradyrhizobium sp. HZ1. Its description in RNAcentral is "partial 16S-23S ribosomal RNA intergenic spacer". The stretch from base 666 to 777 matches the Rfam family "Bacterial large subunit ribosomal RNA", at positions 1 to 113 of the family's 2925-position model. Lineage: Bacteria; Pseudomonadati; Pseudomonadota; Alphaproteobacteria; Hyphomicrobiales; Nitrobacteraceae. The record is from RNAcentral.